This 253-nucleotide ribosomal RNA is filed under the name uncultured bacterium. RNAcentral's name for it is "partial 16S ribosomal RNA". It matches the Rfam family "Bacterial small subunit ribosomal RNA", at positions 524 to 776 of the family's 1533-position model. The record is from RNAcentral.
UACGUAGGGGCCGAGCGUUGUCCGGAGUUAUUGGGCGUAAAGCGCGCGCAGGCGGCCUCGCGCGCCCGACGUGAAAGCCCCCGGCUUAACCGGGGAGGGUCGUUGGGGACGGCGGGGCUUGAGGGCGGGAGAGGGUGGUGGAAUUCCCGGUGUAGUGGUGAAAUGCGUAGAGAUCGGGAGAAACACCCGUGGCGAAGGCGGCCACCUGGGCCGACCCUGACGCUGAGGCGCGAAGGCGUGGGGAGCGAACGGG